RNAcentral lists this ribosomal RNA (396 nucleotides) under uncultured bacterium. Its description in RNAcentral is "bacterial SSU rRNA". It matches the Rfam family "Bacterial small subunit ribosomal RNA", at positions 29 to 413 of the family's 1533-position model. The record is from RNAcentral.
AAUGAACGCUGGCGGCGCGCCUAAUACAUGCAAGUCGAGCGAGAAGACGUAGCAAUACGUUUGUAAAGCGGCGAACGGGUGAGGAAUACAUGGGUAACCUACCCUCGAGUGGGGAAUAACUAGCCGAAAGGUUAGCUAAUACCGCGUACGCCCCUUGGACUUCGGUUCAGGGAGGAAAGACGAUACCGUGGGUAUCGCGCUCUUGGAUGGGCGUCAUGUCCUAUCAGCUUGUUGGCGAGGUAACGGCUCACCAAGGCUUCGACGGGUAGCUGGUCUGAGAGGACGAUCAGCCACACUGGCACUGCGACACGGGCCAGACUCCUACGGGAGGCAGCAGUAAGGAAUAUUGCGCAAUGGGCGAAAGCCUGACGCAGCGACGCCGCGUGGGGGAGUGAA